RNAcentral lists this ribosomal RNA (486 nucleotides) under uncultured bacterium. Its description in RNAcentral is "partial 16S ribosomal RNA". It matches the Rfam family "Bacterial small subunit ribosomal RNA", at positions 30 to 507 of the family's 1533-position model. The record is from RNAcentral.
AUUGAACGCUGGCGGCAUGCCUUACACAUGCAAGUCGAACGGCAGCACGGGUGCUUGCACCUGGCGGCGAGUGGCGAACGGGUGAGUAAUACAUCGGAACAUGUCCUGUAGUGGGGGAUAGCCCGGCGAAAGCCGGAUUAAUACCGCAUACGAUCUACGGAUGAAAGCGGGGGACCUUCGGGCCUCGCGCUAUAGGGUUGGCCGAUGGCUGAUUAGCUAGUUGGUGGGGUAAAGGCCUACCAAGGCGACGAUCAGUAGCUGGUCUGAGAGGACGACCAGCCACACUGGGACUGAGACACGGCCCAGACUCCUACGGGAGGCAGCAGUGGGGAAUUUUGGACAAUGGGCGAAAGCCUGAUCCAGCAAUGCCGCGUGUGUGAAGAAGGCCUUCGGGUUGUAAAGCACUUUUGCCCGGAAAGAAAUCCUUGGCCCUAAUACGGUCGGGGGAUGACGGUACCGGAAGAAUAAGCACCGGCUAACUACGUG